RNAcentral lists this long non-coding RNA (421 nucleotides) under Mus caroli (Ryukyu mouse). Its description in RNAcentral is "lncRNA (MGP_CAROLIEiJ_G0004347.1)". The record is from RNAcentral. Lineage: Eukaryota; Metazoa; Chordata; Mammalia; Rodentia; Muridae.
CUCUGCUCUUGCUUCCCUGCCUCCUGCUUCGGCGUUUCCCUGUCCUGAUGGACUGUCCUAGAACUAUGAGCCAUGGUAAAGCCGUUGCUUUUGUCUGAGUAUUUUUAUCACAGUGAUGGAAAGGCCUGUGAAAGGGGCAUUGAGAAGUGCUGUUCUAGACAGAUGAACACACCAUGGAAGCCUACGUGUCUCCUGCACAAAUCAGUGGUGCCCACACCAUCCAGAGACCAUGGAUAGGAAGACGCAGCAUGCAUAGACAAUGGGAAUUUUUUUCAGCCAUGAAGAAUAAUGAAGUUGUAUCACUUGCAGGAAAAUGGAUGUGACUAGAGAUACUCAUACUAAGAGAAUAAAGGCUGUCUCAGGAAGAUAUUAAUAUUACUUAUAUGUGGUUCCUUGACCUUAUAUAGAUACACAAAAUCAC